Non-coding RNA from Pipra filicauda (Wire-tailed manakin), 402 nucleotides. Lineage: Eukaryota; Metazoa; Chordata; Aves; Passeriformes; Pipridae. The record is from the annotation of a RefSeq genome assembly.
AUGGUGAACCGGCCCCGCACCGACGGCGCGUACCCGGUCCGGAGGGCCGUGACCCUGGUGGAGUCCGGGGGUGACCUCAAGGCCCCGGGGGAGUCCCUGCGGCUCCUCUGCCGCGCCUCCGGCUUCACCUUCGCCAACUACCACAUGUUCUGGGUGCGCCAGAGCCCCGGGAAGGGGCUGGAGUGGGUCAGUGGGAUCGACACUGAUGGUGACACCGACUACGCGCCGUCGGUGCGGGGCCGGUUCACCAUGGCCAGGGACAACGACCAGGCCACGGUGACGCUGCAGAUGAACAACCUCAGGGAGGAGGAUUCCAACACCUAUUUCUGCGCCAAAACUGGUGUUGCUGGUGGUGGUUUGGGUCAUGGUAUCGACGGUUGAUAUUUCGGGUCAACGGUUGAC